CAACUUUUAACUUAACGUCACACAUGCACCGACACAUGUUCUUGGGUGCUCAAUUUCAGCGCUCUGACCCUGAUAUAUCACGGGCAGAGGAUGGGCUGGCAAGCUGCCAGCACUAACACUGAAAGCGGGUUAGAUCAUGGGGUGUAUGGAGGCCUAAC
Molecule: small RNA, 158 nt
Organism: Pseudohongiella acticola
Lineage: Bacteria; Pseudomonadati; Pseudomonadota; Gammaproteobacteria; Pseudomonadales; Pseudohongiellaceae
Rfam family: t44 RNA
About the family: This family consists of a number of bacterial RNA genes of between 135 and 170 bases in length. The t44 gene is found between the map and rpsB genes in all species in the full alignment apart from Shigella flexneri.
Source: Rfam